ACGAACGCUGGCGGCGUGCCUAAUACAUGCAAGUCGAGCGGACUGAUUAAGAGCUUGCUCUUAUGACGUUAGCGGCGGACGGGUGAGUAACACGUGGGCAACCUGCCCUGUAGAUCGGGAUAACACCGAGAAAUCGGUGCUAAUACCGGGUAAUAUCUGAGAUCACAUGAUCUUAGGUUAAAAGAUGGCUCCGGCUAUCACUACAGGAUGGGCCCGCGGCGCAUUAGCUAGUUGGUAAGGUAAUGGCUUACCAAGGCGACGAUGCGUAGCCGACCUGAGAGGGUGAUCGGCCACACUGGGACUGAGACACGGCCCAGACUCCUACGGGAGGCAGCAGUAGGGAAUCUUCCGCAAUGGACGAAAGUCUGAUGGAGCAACGCCGCGUGAGUGAUGAAGGGUUUCGGCUCGUAAAGCUCUGUUGUUAGGGAAGAAACAGUACCGAACGAACUAGGUCGGUACCUUGACGGUACCUAACCAGAAAGCCACGGCUAACUACGUG
This 499-nucleotide ribosomal RNA is filed under the name uncultured bacterium. RNAcentral describes it as "partial 16S ribosomal RNA". It matches the Rfam family "Bacterial small subunit ribosomal RNA", at positions 29 to 507 of the family's 1533-position model. The record is from RNAcentral.